ACAGAGGAAGGGGUGCUGCGUCCGCUGGCGCAGUCAACACCGGAAGGCGUGCUGCAGCCACUGUGUUAAGGACACCGCAACACGGAGACGACACGAGGGGCCGGGAGAACACAGAAAACAAGGACAGAGAGUGUUUACGAGAGCCUGCUCCUCAGGACUGUGGGAUAGAUGCUGGGAAACAUUCCAUGACCACAGUGCAGUUGACCAAGGCAGUUGCCAGACAGCUUUGGGAUGGAAACAACCUCCAGCAACAUAAAGCCAAGAUCCUAUCUGCACCUUUGAAAGUGAGGUCCUGUGACUUUGUUAGUCUUUGUUAUGAAGUAACAAACAGCAGGCCUGCUCCAGCAACCUCAACAGGAGCAGCCCCAAGAAAGCUACCUCCGUGGGAGCAGGCCAGAAUGACUUUUGAUUUUCAGAAUUGCAGAGCAACCCCAGGAGCACUGAGUGACCUCCAGGAACACUGAAUGAAUGCUGGGGUGACUGGAACUGUGGCCUUGAGUGUACCACAAGGAGCAACCAUCUGAGCCUUGGAUCCACUGGCACCUGGAAGACUGAUCACCAGAGACACAGCUUCAAUGACACCAAUCAGAGGGAAAGAAGGGUAGACAAGGUAAGAGCACAUUCAACACCACAAAAAACAACACGACACCAAUGAAAACUAGUUCUACAACAGCAAGAUUUGAACACCGCAAUGUAAAUGAAGCAGAAGAAAAUGACCUAAAAAAUAAUUUUAGGAUAAUGUUUGAGGCCCUUACAGAGGAAAUGAAAGAUUCCCUCAAAGAAAUAGAGAAGACAACAAAAAGUUGGAAGAAAUCAACAAAUUAAAGAAAACAAAGAAAAGGCAAUCAAGAAGAUGAAAGAAAUAAUUCAAGACUUGAAAUCUGAAAUAGAGACUAUAAAGAAAACACAAUCUGAAGGAAUUCUGGAAAAGAAAAAUAUGGGAAAAUGAUUAGGAAGCAUAAACAGCAGAAUACAAGAGAUUGAAGAGAGAAUCUUAGGCACUGAAUGAAGAUACAAUAGAGGGCAUAGAUUCAUCGGUCAAAGAAAACAUUGAAUGUAAUGAAAGCUUAAUACAAAAUUUCCAGGAAAUAUGGAACACCAUGCAAAGAUCAAAUCUAAGAAAAAUAGGUAUAGAAGAAGGAGAAGUCCAACUUAAAAGCAUAGAAAAUAUAUAUUCAACAAAAUCAUAGAAGAAAACUUUCCCAACCUAAAAGAAGAUAUGCAUAUGAAGAUACAAGAAACUUAUAGAACACCAAAUAGACUGGAUCAGAUAAAGUCCCCUUACCACAUAAUAAUCAAAACACUAAACAUACAGAAUAAAGAAAGAAUAUUAAGAGCUGCAAAGGAAAAAGGCUAAGUAACAUAUAAAGAUAGACCUAUAAGAAUUACACCUGACUCUCAGUGGAGACAAUGAAAACCAGAAGGUCGUGGUCAAGCGUUAUGCAGACAUUAAGAGACCAUGGAUGCCAACCCAGACUACUAUACCCAGAAAAACUUUCAAUCACCAUAGACAGACAAAACAAGAUAUUUCAUGACAGAAUCAGAUUUAACCAAUACCUAGCCACAAACCCAGCCCUACACAAAGUACUAGAAGGAAAACUUCAACCCAAAGAUGUUAGCUACAUCCACAAAAACACAGACAGUAGAUGAUCUCAAAGCAGCAAAUCCCAAAGAAGGGAAACACACACACAAUAACAUCACCAACAAUGAAAACUAAAUAACAAGAACUAACAAUCACUGGUCAUUAAUAUACCUUAAUAUAAAUGGACUCUACUCACUUAUAAAAAGACACAGGCUACAGAUUGGAUACAAAAAUGGAAUCCAUCCUUAUGCUUCAUACAAGAAACAUGCCUCAACCUCAAAGACAGACAUCGACUCUGAGUGAAGGGUUGGGAAAAAUUUUCCUAUCAACUGGACCUAAGAAACAAGCUGGUGUAGCUAUCUUAAUAUCUUACAAAAUAGACUUAAAACUAAAAUCAAUCGAAAGAGACAAAGGAGGACGUUUCAUGUUAGCCACAGGAAAAAUCCAUCAAGAGGAAAUCUCAAUAUUGAACAUCUAUGCCACAAAUACAAGAGCACCCUCAUAUGUAAAAGAAACACUACUAAAGCUUAACUCACACAUUAAACCCCACACACUAAUAGUGAGAGACUUCAACGCCCCACUCUCACCCUGGAAAGGUCUGCCAGAUGGAAAAUUAAGAGAGAAAUAAGGGAACUAACAGAUGUUCUGAUUCAAAUAGACUUAACAGAUAUUUAUAGAAGGGAGGGGAGUAGAGAAAAUACUUAGCUCAAUAAAAACAAUUUUUUUUAAAAAGACUAAAACCAAGGGGAAAAUUCAUUAUGACUAUGUUUCAUUUUUUAAUUAAACUAUGUAUUUUUUCUCUACUUUCCUCCCUUCCUUCCCCUUCUCCUUCUGCCCUCUCCCUUGAUACUGAUGAUCCCAAUUUACUCAGGAGAUCUAUGCUGCUUAUGGCUAUUAUGAAGGAUGGUGUUUCUCUGAUUUCUUUCUCAGGCUAUUUAUCAUCUGUGUACAGAAGGGCUACUGAUUUUUUUUGAAUUAAUCUUGUAUACUGCUACAUUACUGAAAGUGUUUAUGAGUUGUAUAAGCUUUUUGGUAGAAUUUUUGGAGUCAUUUAUGUAAACUAUCAUAUCAUCAGCCAAUAUUGAGAGUUUUACUUCUUCUUUUCUGAUUUGUAUCAUCUUGAUCUCUUUUUGGUGUCUUAUUGUUCUAGCUAGAACCUCAAGAGCUAUAUUGAAUAGAUACGGAGAGAGUGGUCAACCAUGUCUUGUUUCUAAUUUCAGUGGGAUAACUUUUAGUUUCUUUCUAUUUAGUUUGAUGUUGAUUGUUGUCUUGCUGUUGCCUUUGCUAUGUUUAGGUAUGUUCCUCCUCUCUAAGACCUUUGUCAUGAAAGGAUGAUGUAUUUUGUCAAAGGCUUUUUCAACAUCUAAUGAAAUGAUCAUGCAUUUUUUCAGUUUGUUUAUAUGGUGGAUUACAUAGAGAUAAGCAACUUAAAUAGACCUAUAACUGCUAGAAAAAUAGAAAUACGCAUCAAAAGUCUCCCAACCAAAAAAAGCCUAGGACCAGAUGGUUUCAGCACAGAAUUCUACAAGAUUUUCAAAGAAGAAUUAAUACUCCUCAAAUUGUUCACAUAAUAGAAACAGAAAAAAUACUGCCAGACUCUUUAUGAGGCUACAGUUACCCUGAUACCUAAACCACACAAAAACAUUACUAAGAAAGAAUAUUACAAACCAAUCUUACUCAUGAACUUGGAUGUGAAAAUACUCAAUAAAAUACUGGCAAACUGAAUCCAAGACCACAACAGAAAAAUCAUCCACCAUGACCAAGUAGACUUCAUCUCAAAGAUACAGAGAUUGCUCAACAUACAGAAAAACUUUCUUAAAAAUGCAAUAAUGAUAUAAAGAAAAUAUCUUCUUUUCAAAUAAUCUCUUACUUUUGUAGUGAAAACAGAACAUACUAUUACAUUGUGUGUCAUAUGUGUCCUCCAGAGCCCACAAAUCUCUUGAUCCCCAGUGUGAUACCUUGCAAAGCUGUGGGAUCUUUAAGAGGUGGGGCCACCUGGGGCGGACCUACUACAGUUGUUCUGCCGAAUGGACAUGGUAUCAAACUGCUCUCUAAAUUCCUGUCCUAUCCAUAAAUUAGUGCAGCUCCCAGAGUCCAUCAGAGAAGUAUCUUUGUGCUGUGGACAGUGGUUAAAACAGAAACACUGGUCAAACUACAGAGAAUAACUGUGUGCUCCAUAUCUUCUGAACAUGACGGGACCUCUGCACUCAUGAAUGCCUAUGUGUGGUUGCCUAUACAAGACCUGUGUAAGAUCAAGCCAGUCGGCCUUCUAGCAUGCAGUUGGAAAAGGCUCACGAACCCUGUACUGUCUUAUGUCAACUCGGCCCAGCUUUAAUCAUCUGAGAGGAUGGAACCUCAGCUGAGAAACUGCCUUCAUAAGACCCAGCUGUAGGCAAGCCUGUAGAACAUUUUCUUCAUCAGUGCUUGAGAUAGGAGGGGUCAACCCAUUGUGGGUGGUACCAAGCUUGAUGGGUGGCUCUGGGUUCUCUGAGAAAUUAGGCUGAGCAAGUCGUGGGGUGAAAGUCAGGAAACAGCAAUUCUUCUUAGCCUCUGCAUCGUCUCCUGUCUCCAAGUUCCUGCCCAGUUUGGAUUGCUGCCUUGACUUCCCUCAGUGGACGAUAAUUCAGGGUAGGUAAGUCGAAUAAAUCCUAUACUCCCCAAGUUGCUUUCGGUCAUAGUGUUUCAUCACAGCAAUAAUAACCCAACUGAGACAGAAAUUGGCACCAGGAUCAUGGAGUACUGUUGUGACAGACCUGACCAUGUGUUUUGGGAAGGACUGUGCAAGGACUUUGGAACUCUGGGUUGGAGAAGCUUUUGAGUUUUUAAAGCCGAGUGAGCUCUUCUGAGAACUUGGGAGAUUAAAGGCUAAUGUUGAGAGCUGUGGAGGUAAUGGCGUCCUGGCUCGUGAAGUGUCAGAGAGAAGCAAAGACUGUGAGGAACAUUUGAUAUUUUGAAUUAAGAACCUGUGGUUCUAGUCAGUUGGAACUGGAGAUUCAGCUGUGAUUACCAAGAGACCCCGCACCACCAAAGUAAAACUGUUGCUUUACUACGGACAGUUGAUGAUACUGGCAAUUAGCGGUAAUUAAGAGACCAGCAUUAUCGAGGUGAAGUCUCCUGGAAAGAAAAGUGUUUCCUCAGGAUCAGCACACACAAGGUGCGUUCCAGACAUGGCUGAGGCGACACUCACACAGGCAGCUGAAUUUGGUCGUGUGAGAGUCACCCAGGUGGUACUGCUUUUGAAGGCACGAAGGGGGCGUGGAAUCAUCUGAGGCUCAUCACUGUAAGAAAACCUGGAGUCCCUGAAGAGAGCCUAGGAGAGGCCAUGGUGAAGGUGCAGUAGAAGACCCCAACAUUUUGGAAAUGCCAGUACUGUGGAAGGACCACCAAGAACAGCAGCAGCAGCAGCAGCAGCAGCAGCAUGAAACCAGCCAGAGCCUAGAAGACAAUUGUUGCUGAGGGUUGAGCUGGAAAGUGACCCAGGCUGUUGGAGUCCAUAAAUCGGUUUGUUAAUGUCCAAUUCACUUAAUCAAUUGACUCUGGAGUCUCACUCAAGGAUAGUUGAAGAAUGUAAAAGAGUGUGUUCAGUUUGGCUCCAACUUGUCUGCACAUGCAUGUGAGCACAUUGGAUGUACGUGUUCUCUCUCUCUCUCUCCCUCCCUCUCCCUCUCUCUCGCUCCCUCCCCCUCCCUCCCACCCUCCCUCCCUUCCUCCCCAUGUCUCUCUCUCUCUUCCUCC
Molecule: long non-coding RNA, 5317 nt
Organism: Alexandromys fortis (reed vole)
Lineage: Eukaryota; Metazoa; Chordata; Mammalia; Rodentia; Cricetidae
Exons: 4
Source: RefSeq, a predicted model, not a curated record